RNAcentral lists this ribosomal RNA (502 nucleotides) under uncultured bacterium. RNAcentral's name for it is "bacterial SSU rRNA". It matches the Rfam family "Bacterial small subunit ribosomal RNA", at positions 122 to 620 of the family's 1533-position model. The record is from RNAcentral.
CAAUCUACCCAAAACUGGUGAAUAGCCCUCCGAAAGGAGGAUUAACACAUCGUAACCUAAUGAAGUGGCAUCAUUUUAUUAAUAUAGCUCCGGCGGUUUUGGAUGAGCGUGCGCCUGAUUAGGUAGUUGGCGGGGUAACGGCCCACCAAGCCUGCGAUCAGUAACUGGUGUGAGAGCACGACCAGUCACACGGGCACUGAGACACGGGCCCGACUCCUACGGGAGGCAGCAGUAAGGAAUAUUGGUCAAUGGACGCAAGUCUGAACCAGCCAUGCCGCGUGAAGGAUGAAGGUCCUCUGGAUUGUAAACUUCUUUUAUGUGGGACGAAACCUCUUAUUCUUAAGAGACUGACGGUACCAUAGGGAAUAAGCACCGGCUAACUCCGUGCCAGCAGCCGCGGUAAUACGGAGGGUGCAAGCGUUAUCCGGAUUCACUGGGUUUAAAGGGAGCGUAGGAGGGCAGGGUAAGUCAGUGGUGAAAAUCUUCGAGCUUAACUCGGAAA